CAAGUCACUUGAAUCAAUCCAUACGCCUAUUUAAGCAGAAUAUAUUGUAUGGUGUUCUGAAGACCAUAUUGAGAGAAAUAUUUAUUUGGAUGUACACACUCUGAGUUUUGUUUUUAUCUCUUUACCUUAUGACUCUGACUACUACAUCUCUAAAAUAGGCCGAGAGGAAGAAAAGUCAUGACUGUAUGAGCAUUAACAUAGGUGGUUCCAAAUCACAUCACAGCUGUCAUUCUUGUGUCUGUCAAGGAAUCCGAUGAAACAUGGAACAAUUUCAGACUGGUUGAGGCCUCCUAUGAGGCAGAAAAGUAGAAUAGCAAGAGGCAAACUGGCUACAGCUAUUUCCCCAUGAAGACGAUAAUUUCGCAGGUAAAAGUCAUCUGUUCUAUAAGUUGAAGUAGGGAAAACAUUGGGAAUUGUUGCUAAAUUUGAUCAAGUUUUUAAUUUUCCUAGCCAAUUAUGUAACCACAUCCAAAAAAGACAUGUGGGUCAUCAUGAUAUAAAUGUUUAGUCUCCCUGGCUCUACUUUGCCCAAUACUUUAUUUUUACUUUUUUGUGUGGGGGGAGACACACUUUAAAUUCACAUUAUCUUAUUGGGGAGUAUAUAUCUUUGUAAGCUCUUAAUUCCUUUCCAGAAAAAAAGUGGUAAGUACAUGAAUGGAAAUACUGAGUUAAAUAUACCCUCUAUUGGCUUCCUUGGUUCUAAGUCACUAAGCAAAAUGUCUGCAUUUUUGGAGUUAGCCAUGGGGAAAAAUUACUUUCAGUCUCUACAUUGCAAAAUCUUGUAAUCUAUGUGCACGCACAGAAUCAUACUGAGAAACACUCCCAAUCUAUUAAAA
Macaca mulatta (Rhesus monkey) is the source of this 836-nucleotide non-coding RNA. The record is from RefSeq and is a predicted model, not a curated record. Lineage: Eukaryota; Metazoa; Chordata; Mammalia; Primates; Cercopithecidae.